Molecule: ribosomal RNA, 489 nt
Filed under: uncultured bacterium
Lineage: Bacteria
Description: bacterial SSU rRNA
Rfam family: Bacterial small subunit ribosomal RNA
Source: RNAcentral
AGGGUUCGAUUCUGGCUCAGGAUGAACGCUGGCGGCGUAGCCUAACACAUUCAAGUCGAACGAACUGUAGAAUACAGUGAGUGGCGGACGGGUGAGUAACGCGUAAGCAACCUGCCUUUGUGUGUGGAAUAACAACCGGAAACAGUUGCUAAUACCGCAUAACGCACAGAAAUCGCAUGUUUUUUGUGCCAAAGAUUUAUCGCACAAAGAUGGGCUUGCGUCCGAUUAGAUAGUUGGCGGGGUAACGGCCCACCAAGUCAACGAUCGGUAGCCGGACUGAGAGGUUGAACGGCCACAUUGGAACUGAGAUACGGUCCAGACUCCUACGGGAGGCAGCAGUGGGGAAUAUUGGGCAAUGGACGAAAGUCUGACCCAAGCGACGCCGCGUGAGGGAAGAAGGUCUUCGGAUUGUAAACCUUAGUCAACAGGGACGAAGCAAGUGACGGUACCUGUGGAGGAAGCCACGGCUAACUACGUGCCAGCAGCUGC